AUUUCCAUGCGGACGGGGAGUGAAGUCUUUCAGCUG
RNAcentral lists this non-coding RNA (36 nucleotides) under uncultured Amoebophrya. The record is from RNAcentral. Lineage: Eukaryota; Dinophyceae; Syndiniales.